AGAGUUUGAUCCUGGCUCAGGGUGAACGUUGGCGGCGUGCCUAAGGUAUGCAAGUCGAACGGUUCUUUUAGUUUUUUAUGCUUAUGUGUAUUAAACUUAAAGAAUAGUGGCAAACGGGUGAGUAACGCGUAGAUAAUCUACCUCGAAGAUGGGGAUAGCUCGCCGAAAGGCGGGGUAAUACCCAAUGGUCUACACUCACAUAUGUGUUGUGUAGUAAAGCUCCGGCGCUUCGAGAGGAGUCUGCGUUCUAUCAGCUUGUUGGUAGGGUAAUGGCCUACCAAGGCUAAGACGGAUAGCUGGCGUGAGAGCGUGACCAGCCACAAUGGGACUGAGACAAGGCCCAUACUCCUACGGGAGGCAGCAAUUAGGAAUCUUGCACAAUGGGGGCAACCCUGAUGCAGCGACGCCGCGUGGAGGAAGAAGGUCUUCGGAUCGUAAACUCCUUUUAUGUGGGAAGAAUAACUGACGGUACCACAUGAAUAAGUACCUGCUAACUACGUGCCAGAAGCAUCGGUGAUGCGUAGGGUACGAACGUUACCCGGACUUAUCGGGCGUAAAGCGAUGCGUAGGCGUUCUUACAAGUCUGAUGUCAAAGACUUCUGCUCAACAGAAGAAAGGCAUUGGAAACUGUGAGAAUUGAGACAGAGAGAGGUGAGUGGAAUUUCCGGUGGAGCAGUGAAAUGCGUUGAUAUCGGAAGGAACACCAGAGGCGAAGGCGACUCACUGGCUCUGUUCUGACGCUGAGGCUCGAAAGCAUGGGUAGCAAAACGGAUUAGAUACCCGUGUAGUCCAUGCUGUAAACGCUGAAUGCUAGGCGUUUGACAUAACCUUUAAGGAACUUAGGUUCUUUAAUGGAAGUGUUGAGUGCCGCAGUUAACACGUUAAGCAUUCCGCCUGGGAAGUACGAUCGCAAGAUUAAAACUCAAAUGAAUUGGCGGGGACCCGCACAAGCGGAGGAGCGCGUGGUUCAAUUCGAAGAUAAUCGAAGAACCUUACCAGGGCUUGAAAUGUAGCUGCAUGCCUAUGAAAAUAGGAGGCCUUCGAGGGUGCUACACAGGUGCUGCAUGGCCGUCGUCAGCUCGUGUCGUGAGAUGUAGGGUUAAGUCCCAAAACGAGCGUAACCCCUAUCCUAUGUUACAAGUGUCUUAGGAAACUGCCUCGGUAAAACGAGGAGGAAGGUGGGGACGACGUCUGGUCCGCAUAGCCCUUAUGUCCUGGGCUACACACGCGCUACAAUGGCUGGUACAACGGGGAGCAAAGCCGCAAGGUGGAGCAAAUCCUUGAAAACCAGUCUAAGUUCGGAUAGAGGUCUGCAACUCGACCUCAUGAAGUUGGAUUCGCUAGUAAUCACAGAUCAGCAAAGCUGUGGUGAAUACGUUCUCGGGUCUUGCACACACCGCCCGUCACGUCACGGAAGCAGGUGAUACCCGAAGGCGUCCGAUAUUUAUAUUGGAUGACGAAGGUGUUGCCUGUAACUGGGAUGAAGUCGUAACAAGGUAGCCGUAAGGGCGAAUUCCACAUU
RNAcentral lists this ribosomal RNA (1522 nucleotides) under uncultured bacterium. Its description in RNAcentral is "bacterial SSU rRNA". It matches the Rfam family "Bacterial small subunit ribosomal RNA". The record is from RNAcentral.